Rosa rugosa (rugosa rose) is the source of this 469-nucleotide long non-coding RNA. RefSeq lists it as uncharacterized. Lineage: Eukaryota; Viridiplantae; Streptophyta; Magnoliopsida; Rosales; Rosaceae. The record is from RefSeq and is a predicted model, not a curated record. The transcript has 3 exons.
CCUCUCUCCUCUCUCCCUCGAGUCGACCCUCUAUUCCUUUCUCUUCCUCUCAGAACCCAGCUCUAAUUUCUUGAAUCCAGCCCCAAUUGUACAAAAUCUUUGGCCAUUCCAAUCCCAAAAACACGAUCUACGCAAGAUGCAAACCUCACCAACAUGAAUUUUAACCCCAAUAUCAUUUGAUUUUCGAAAUCCCCAAAUCCUUCGACCCAACCCUAGCUGCUAGUUUGAACUUUGAAGUGGUUGCUCAGAUGCUUGUACGGUGUUGAAGUGGUGGUUCAGAGCAGAAAAAAAUAGGUCAAGGAUGGAGCCGAUGGACAUCGUUGGAAAGUCAAAAGAAGAUGCCUCGCUUCCGAAAGCAACUGCUGCGCUGCAUUUGGGAGGUGCAACCUCUUCUACAACAACUGCUACUUGAAGAUUUGGAUGCUGCAAACUAUUGGUGCUGAAGAUAUAGCGGCUUGUUUUUUGUCAA